This 467-nucleotide ribosomal RNA is filed under the name uncultured bacterium. Its description in RNAcentral is "partial 16S ribosomal RNA". It matches the Rfam family "Bacterial small subunit ribosomal RNA", at positions 28 to 506 of the family's 1533-position model. The record is from RNAcentral.
GACGAACGCUGGCGGCGUGCUUAACACAUGCAAGUCGAACGGAAAGGCCCUGCUUUUGUGGGGUGCUCGAGUGGCGAACGGGUGAGUAACACGUGAGUAACCUGCCCUUGACUUUGGGAUAACUUCAGGAAACUGGGGCUAAUACCGGAUAGGAGCUCCUGCUGCAUGGUGGGGGUUGGAAAGUUUCGGCGGUUGGGGAUGGACUCGCGGCUUAUCAGCUUGUUGGUGGGGUAGUGGCUUACCAAGGCUUUGACGGGUAGCCGGCCUGAGAGGGUGACCGGCCAUUUGGGGAAGGAGACACGGCCCACCCCCCCGGGGGGGGGCGGGGGGGGGAAUUUUGCAAAUGGGGGGGAAGCGUGGUGAAGCCCCCCGGGGGGGGGGGGGGGGCCCUUGGUUUUUAACCCCCUUUUCCCCUGGGACGAGGGGGGGGGGGCGGAAAGGGAAAAAAAAGCCCCGGCCACCUGCGU